UACGUAGGGGGCGAGCGUUAUCCGGAUUUACUGGGUGUAAAGGGCGUGUAGGCGGGACUGCAAGUCAGAUGUGAAAACCAUGGGCUUAACUCAUGGCCUGCAUUUGAAACUGUAGUUCUUGAGUGCUGGAGAGGCAAGCGGAAUUCCUAGUGUAGCGGUGAAAUGCGUAGAUAUUAGGAAGAACACCAGUGGCGAAGGCGGCUUGCUGGACAGUAACUGACGCUAAGGCGCGAAAGCGUGGGGAG
This 245-nucleotide ribosomal RNA is filed under the name uncultured Pseudoflavonifractor sp. RNAcentral's name for it is "partial 16S ribosomal RNA". It matches the Rfam family "Bacterial small subunit ribosomal RNA", at positions 524 to 768 of the family's 1533-position model. Lineage: Bacteria; Bacillati; Bacillota; Clostridia; Eubacteriales; Oscillospiraceae. The record is from RNAcentral.